GACUGCGGCUGCUGCGGGCUUCCGCCUUGGCACAAUGGACGGAGAGCAGUAACCGAAGGAAGGACAGGAGCCGGCAAGCGGGCGGGGCAAGGGGCGAGAAGGCACGACCGGCGAGAGCCUUUGGCCCGAAGAAGAGCUGCUGUUAUUCCCGUCGAAGGAAAGAGUAAACAGUUAUUACAAUGGGCGAUGCUGCAAAAUCUUGCUAUACGAGACGUAAUAAGGACUGGGGACUUACAAAUGAGGAGGAUUUCCAGAAAUGUGCUUCACGUCAAGUGAUGGACGAUUGUGGAAAUGGACACAGUAGCAAAGUGGACACCAGAUUUGAAAAAAGAAAGGGAACAUCAAGUGAUUAUGGAACAAGUCCUAGAAAGGGAGCACAUGCUGCUUUGAAUAGUCCAAAUUCUUCAAAAAACAUUGUUUACAAUCAAGGGGCAAGAAUAAAUGAUUCUUCAAAAGACCAAAUUAAGAAAUGGGUGUCUGACAACCAUCAAGCUAAUUCCAGCAGUUGGAGAGAAUUCAAAUCCACAGCCCGGAUACCUGUGAUUAUCAGACCACGGAAAGAGUUUCCUCAUGAAUGUGAGAGUUUUGGAGGCAGAAGUGGAAGAAGGCAGCUCUUUAGAGACCUCACAAGUGAAGAUUUAUCUGAUAGAAAAGGAAAUUCUGAAAUGAAGAAACAUAGGAAACCAAGGAGAUCAAGAAGAAUAAAAAAAGAAGACAAUGAUCAGGAUGAUGAACUGGAUGGCCCUGUUAUAGAUGAGUCUUUACUGACAGCAGAAGAAUUACUGGGGUUGCAGCAGGCUGAAGAACGACUUAAGGGAGACUACAUUUAUAGACUGAGGAAGCGACCUCGAAGCAACCCAACAGCUAAAUAUACUUGCAGGUUAUGUGACGUAUUGAUUGAGUCAGUGGCAUUUGCUCAUAAGCAUAUCAAGGAAAAAAGACACAAGAAAAACAUAAAGGAAAAACAAGAACAAGAACUGCUGAAUGCACUUCCUUCACCAACAGUUUUGCAAAUUGAAGCUAUUGGUAUAGCCGUUCAAAAAGUAGUAGAAGAGUUUGGAUUAAAUAAUGAAGAUGUAGAACAAAGGCUUGGAAUCAAAACUACUAUGGAGAAUGUAUUUCAACCAAAACUGCCAGGUUAUUAUGAUUAUACAUAGAUUUUUAUUUUAAUAACUUUUAACAUAUCAUUGCUUGUGAACA
This 1200-nucleotide long non-coding RNA is filed under the name Notechis scutatus (mainland tiger snake). Its description in RNAcentral is "lncRNA (ENSNSUG00000014373.1)". Lineage: Eukaryota; Metazoa; Chordata; Lepidosauria; Squamata; Elapidae. The record is from RNAcentral.